UUCGUAGCUGGUUUGUUAAGUCUCUGGGGAAAUCUUCCGGCUUAACCGGAAGGCGUUUCAGGGAUACUGGCAGACUAGGGACCGGGAGAGGUGAGAGGUACUCCAGGGGUAGGAGUGAAAUCCUGUAAUCCUUGGGGGACCACCUGUGGCGAAGGCGUCUCACCAGAACGGCUCCGACAGUGAGGGACGAAAGCUGGGGGAGCAAACCG
Molecule: ribosomal RNA, 209 nt
Filed under: uncultured euryarchaeote
Lineage: Archaea; Methanobacteriati; Methanobacteriota
Description: partial 16S ribosomal RNA
Rfam family: Archaeal small subunit ribosomal RNA
Source: RNAcentral